UACGACUACAUAUCAGGCAUAUCAAUAAGCGGAGGAAAAGAAACUAACAAGGAUUCCCUUAGUAACGGCGAGUGAAGCGGGAAGAGCUCAAAUUUGAAAUCUUCAAGGUUCUACCUUGACGAAUUGUAGUUUAAAGAAGUGUUUUCUGUUAGAUGAGUAGCAAAAGUUCCUUGGAAUGGGACAUCCAUAGAGGGUGAGAAUCCCGUAUUUGGUUAUUCAUUCUAGCUGUGUGAUACACUUUCAAAGAGUCGGAUUGUUUGGGAAUGCAGUCCAAAAUGGGUGGUAAAUUUCAUCUAAAGCUAAUAUUGGCGAGAGACCGAUAGCGAACAAGUACCGUGAGGGAAAGAUGAAAAGAACUUUGAAAAGAGAGUUAAACAGUACGUGAAAUUGUCAAAAGGGAAGCGUUUGACACCAGUGUUGUUUUUCCGAAAAUCAAUUACGAAUGGCUUGAUUUUGUGUUGUAUUGACCUUAUCAGCUUUCUUCACUUUUUUCGAGUCUUUCUUAAUGCACUUUUCGGUUAACAAGUCAACAUCAAUUUCUUUUGUUGUAAAAGAGUAUUCGGAAGGUGGCUUUCUUUUCGGAGAAAGUGUUUAUAGCCCUAUACUUCUACAAUCGGAGAGAUUGAGGUCUGCAGCGUAGAUCCUUCGGGGUUAGAUACAUUUGUGCUAAGUUGUAGCUUUUCAUAGACAACUUGUUGACUAUGUUUAGUCAUGCGGCUUACUCGCUUAUGCUAUUUUACCUACGCUUAGGAUGUUGAGUAGCGACAUACGCAC
Molecule: ribosomal RNA, 774 nt
Filed under: uncultured Neocallimastigales
Lineage: Eukaryota; Fungi; Neocallimastigomycota; Neocallimastigomycetes; Neocallimastigales
Description: partial large subunit ribosomal RNA
Rfam family: Eukaryotic large subunit ribosomal RNA
Source: RNAcentral